GCGGGCAGAGCUGCGGGGGUCCGAGUUCCACAGCUUCCAGCUCUGGGGAAGGGGAGGAGAGGGGCCUUCACCUCUACGGCUGACCCCCUUCCCUGAGGGUCGCCGGGGAGAGGAGGAGAAGAGACAGAGGGAGAGUGAAAGAGGGCAGAGAGGGAGAGAAGCAGGACGGGAGAGGGAAGGGGAAAUGAGGGAGAGAGAGGGAGGAGGAAGCGAAAGAAAAGGGGACGGGAGGAGGGGCGAGGGGUUGGGAGAGCGGGAGGUUGGGACGCAGCGGGGAGGAGGCGAAGGCCUGGUAACAGUUGAUCGGCGGAUUCCACUUACUGUGACUAUCCAGUCUCCUCUAGGCCUUUGGACAUCUGAAAGGCAGUGUUAAGAGCCCAACUCUGGAGAUGGACUUUGGCUCCACCACCAAGUAUUAAUAGCUCUGUGACUUGGGGCAAGUUACUUAACCUCCCUACACCACAGUUUCCACUGCUGUAAAUUGGGGAUGAUGAUAAUAACAGCCACCUCACAAGGUUGCCUGGAGAUUUGAUUAAAUGAAAUAAUUAGCAUGGAGUUUAUCUAGUCUUACCUGUCAGAGUCAAGAGCCUUCUUUCUCCUAAGCUGACCUUAGUAUCUCCCCCUGUCCGCCCCCUUUACUUUGGAUCCUAACUCAUAAAACGGGAUUGCUUGACAGUAUGUUUUCUUUGUGUACAGAUAGCUUGUUUCUUCAACCUACAUUUUAAGUUCUUUCAACAGUCACUUUUAUUUCUAUGCACACUUAAAGGCACCAACUUAGUGCAUUGCACACAACUUGUGUUCAAUAAAUUUUUGUUGAUUGAAUGAUAAAUAAAACCUCAGUGAUACCUAGAAAGAGAUUUUUCUAGAAAAUUUGAAGGUAUAGAAAAGAAAAACUCUUCAUAGGGCAGGAUGAGUAGAAUAAAACUUGAGAUAUGAAGUCAACUUUGUUAGUUUAGAACCAUAAAAAUGUAUCAUGUAGAGUAAUCUCAACUAUGUAAAGAAAACUGCAAAACAAAACUGGAAGUAAACAUGCCAGAUUUUAUAGUUGAUGUCUUAGUGUAGGAGGAGUAUGAGUGAUUUUUUUCCCCUCCUGUUUUAUACUUUUUAGUCCUUUCCAGCUUUUCCAUGGUCAAUAUGUGUUUCUGAGUUGCUCAGGAAAAGUACUUCUAUUAUCCAUAUAAUUUAGCCAAUCAAAAUGAUCACAUUUUGGAUAUUUAGAGAUGUGAUGACCUUGGAGGAAAAAAAAAAUCAUGAGAACAAAACAAUUGCGUUCCUCUAAGUUUUCCUUCAUUUUUUUUCCCCAGAGCAGCCACCCUUUACUGAUUUGUGCCAGAAAAUCAAUUUGUCAGUUUGAAGUGUAGAGAUAUUUCCUUUUCAGGGACCAGAAUAUUUGUCUUUCCUAUCUAGGGGACUUCCUUUGAAGUGUCAAGAUUCCAGGCAGGGAAUCAGCAUUGUAGAAGGGUCUUGGACUAAAUUCAGAGCCAAGGCAAAGUGAGGCAAAUUAUCUUAAUGAUUAUUUCAACUAGCUUAGUGAACUUUCACCUUUUCAGUGAUUUAUUUUAUUUAUUUAUUUUUUUUAGACAGGGACUUGCUCUGUGCAGGCUAGAAUGCAGUGGUGCAAUCAUAGCUCACUGAAGCCUUGAACCUCUGGGCUCAAACGAUCCUCCUGCCCCAGCUUCCCAAGUAGCUGGGACUACAGGCAUGCAUUACCAUGCCCAGCUAAUAUUUUAAAUUUUUGGUAGAGAUGGGGUCUUGCCCAGGGUGGCCUUGAACUCCUGGCCUCAAGCAAUCCUCCUGCCUUGGCCUCCCAAAGCUCUGGGAUUACCGACAUGAGCCACCGUGCUGGCCUCCUGUGAUUUCUUUCUUUAUUUAUUUACUAUUAUUUUUAUUUUUUUCUUUCAAGGCUUUAGGAUGUACCAGUGAUCUUCUGUUUAUAUUACUGUAACAUAAAAAAAACACACACAACAACUUACAAAGUUAUAAUUCACUCAACUGGAGUUACCUUCCACUUUUACUGAAAAUUAGGACAACACUUCAAUUUAUCUGUGCAUAGAGUCAUUCAUUCAACAAAAAUUUACUAAGUGCCAGGCCAUGUGCUGAUGCUGGAAAUGAGAAAUAAGACCUGGUCCUUAUCUUUCAGAAGUUUAGGGUCUAGUUGAUGAACACUCAUAUACAAACAGUGAUAUGUAGAAAAUUGUCUCAAGGGCUUCGGUAGAUCCAGGUAGACAGACUUACAGCAGCUAGUGGGACAAAAAUGAGAAGCCAGUUCUAGUUGGGCAGGGAGACAGCAAAGAGGAGGGAGCAGAAAAGAACUUCAGAGACAACCAGUUAUCUGGGCUGAUUAUGAAUCUUUAGCUUAUAAGUGGGUAGUAUUUCCUGACGUGAGGCUAUUGUUUUUUUUUGUACUUUGUCGUAAUCAUGUUGUCUUACAUACUGUCUAUCUGAUUACUUUCUCUGCUACAUUAAGGAUAUGCUUCAUGAUUCUUUCCAUCAUUGAGAAAUGCAAUGAGUUUAUAACAUUUAAAUCCUAUUCCAUCAUAGUCUAAGAACUGACCAAAUUUUAAAAAUAUAUCAAUCAUUUUAUCAGGUAACAUUGAAAUUUGUAAAAUACAAAAACCCUAAACUUUUUACUUUUACUUAAAGUGUAUAAUUGUACAUUCAUUCCUCAAUGAUUAGAUGUUGGGCUCAGUGUUGGAAUCCUCUGAUUGAAAUUACUCAUUGUUUUUCUUGCAUUAACCCUGCCUGUGAUACACUGGGUUUAUGGUUUCCAGCCUUUGUUUUUCUAUAGAGAAGAGUGAGCUUAGACACUUAACAAACAAUAUGAGUGUGGAGUCUUUUAGGCUUUACACUUUCUUUUCCUAAUCUUUUAGUUUUUUAGCCCAUAACUAAUUUG
Molecule: long non-coding RNA, 2893 nt
Filed under: Homo sapiens (human)
Lineage: Eukaryota; Metazoa; Chordata; Mammalia; Primates; Hominidae
Description: HSALNT0043320
Source: RNAcentral